GUAGGUAGCAAGCGUUGUCCGGAAUUAUUGGGCGUAAAGCGCGCGCAGGGCGGUCCUUUAAGUCUGAUGUGAAAGCCCACGGCUCAACCGUGGAGGGUCAUUGGAAACUGGGGGACUUGAGUACAGAAGAGGAAAGCGGAAUUCCAAGUGUAGCGGUGAAAUGCGUAGAGAUUUGGAGGAACACCAGUGGCGAAGGCGGCUUUCUGGUCUGUAACUGACGCUGAGGCGCGAAAGCGUGGGGAGCAAACAGGAUUAGAUACCCUGGUAGUCCACGCCGUAAACGAUGAGUGCUAAGUGUUAGGGGGUUUCCGCCCCUUAGUGCUGCAGCUAACGCAUUAAGCACUCCGCCUGGGGAGUACGGCCGCAAGGCUG
Molecule: ribosomal RNA, 372 nt
Filed under: uncultured organism
Description: partial 16S ribosomal RNA
Rfam family: Bacterial small subunit ribosomal RNA
Source: RNAcentral